This 255-nucleotide ribosomal RNA is filed under the name uncultured bacterium. RNAcentral's name for it is "partial 16S ribosomal RNA". It matches the Rfam family "Bacterial small subunit ribosomal RNA", at positions 524 to 776 of the family's 1533-position model. The record is from RNAcentral.
GACAUAGGUCGCAAACGUUAUCCGGAAUUAUUGGGCGUAAAGGAUGCGUAGCUGGUUCAGUAAGUUACUGGUGGGAAAUCGAGGCCCAACCUCGUGGAAGUUGGUAAUACUGUUGAACUUGAGUGCAGGAGAGGUUAACGGAACUUCAUGUGGAGCGGUAAAAUGCGUAGAUAUAUGAAAGAACAUCAAUAUGGCGAAGGCAGUUAACUAUUCUGCUACUGACAUUGAGGCAUGAAAGCGUGGGGAGCAAAACGG